Non-coding RNA from Saccharomonospora xinjiangensis XJ-54, 75 nucleotides. The record is from Rfam. NCBI's taxonomy places the organism in Bacteria, Bacillati, Actinomycetota, Actinomycetes, Pseudonocardiales, Pseudonocardiaceae.
CUUCACCGAGCCGAGCCGCAACGGCCGAUCGGGCUGCCUGCCCUCGCCGUAGGCGGCCAGCAGCGCCGUCGCCUC